RNAcentral lists this ribosomal RNA (484 nucleotides) under uncultured bacterium. RNAcentral's name for it is "partial 16S ribosomal RNA". It matches the Rfam family "Bacterial small subunit ribosomal RNA", at positions 30 to 507 of the family's 1533-position model. The record is from RNAcentral.
AUUGAACGCUGGCGGCAGGCCUAACACAUGCAAGUCGAGCGGAUGAAGGGAGCUUGCGCCUCGAUUCAGCGGCGGACGGGUGAGUAAUGCCUAGGAAUCUGCCUUGUAGUGGGGGAUAACGUCCGGAAACGGGCGCUAAUACCGCAUACGUCCUUAGGGGGAAAGUGGGGGAUCUUCGGACCUCACGCUAUCAGAUGAGCCUAGGUCGGAUUAGCUAGUUGGUGGGGUAAAGGCCUACCAAGGCGACGAUCCGUAACUGGUCUGAGAGGAUGAUCAGUCACACUGGAACUGAGACACGGUCCAGACUCCUACGGGAGGCAGCAGUGGGGAAUAUUGGAAAAUGGGCGAAAGCCUGAUCCAGCCAUGCAGCGUGUGUGAAGAAGGUCUUCGGAUUGUAAAACACUUUAAGUUGGGAAGAAGGGUAGUAAGUUGAUACCUUCCUGUUUUGACGUUACCAACAGAAUAAGCACCGGCUAACUUCGUG